This 53-nucleotide transfer RNA is filed under the name Pseudosuccinea columella. Its description in RNAcentral is "tRNA-Ser". The record is from RNAcentral. Lineage: Eukaryota; Metazoa; Mollusca; Gastropoda; Lymnaeidae.
UUUUUGUAUUAUAGAGAUUUUGAAAGUCCCUUUAGGGUUUUACCCACAAAAAA